GUGGGGAAUCUUGCACAAUGGAGGCAACUCUGAUGCAGCGACGCCGCGUGAGCGAUGAAGCCCUUCGGGGUGUAAAGCUCUUUCGACGGGAACGAUAAUGACGGUACCCGGAGAAGAAGCUGCGGCUAACUACGUGCCAGCAGCCGCGGUAAUACGUAGGCAGCAAGCGUUGUUCGGAAUUAUUGGGCGUAAAGAGUGCGUAGGCGGUGUUCCAAGUCUGUCGUGAAAUCUCCCGGCUUAACUGGGAGGGUGCGGCGGAAACUGGGAUGCUAGAGGGUGGGAGAGGUAAGCGGAAUUCCUGGUGUAGCGGUGAAAUGCGUAGAUAUCAGGAGGAACACCUGUGGUGUAGACAGCUUACUGGACCACUUCUGACGCUGAGGCACGAAAGCGUGGGUAGCAAACAGGAUUAGAAACCCCAGUAGUCC
Molecule: ribosomal RNA, 425 nt
Filed under: uncultured bacterium
Lineage: Bacteria
Description: bacterial SSU rRNA
Rfam family: Bacterial small subunit ribosomal RNA
Source: RNAcentral